UGCCCGGGCGUUAACUAGACACAUGUCCGCCAGAAAAUUACGGGCGAAAGCCUAAAACUCAAAAGACUUGACGGUGUCCUAAUCUACCUAGAGGAGCCUGUUCCAUAAUCGAUAAUCCCCGAUAAACCCAACCACCUUUUGAAACCCCAGCCUAUAUACCGCCGUCGACAGCCCACCUUCCAAAAGAAUUAAAGUAGGCCAAACAGAUUUACUCUAAAAAGUCAGGUCAAGGUGUAGCUAAUAAGGUGGAGAUAAUGGGCUACAUUUUUUAAAUUAAAACACCACACGAACCAGUACUUUGAAACAAGACUAUAAAGGUGGAUUUAGCAGUAAGCUAAAAAAGAGUGCUUAGCUUAACAUAGCCCUAGGACACGUACAC
RNAcentral lists this ribosomal RNA (379 nucleotides) under Gymnophthalmus leucomystax. Its description in RNAcentral is "partial 12S ribosomal RNA". It matches the Rfam family "Bacterial small subunit ribosomal RNA", at positions 842 to 1388 of the family's 1533-position model. Lineage: Eukaryota; Metazoa; Chordata; Lepidosauria; Squamata; Gymnophthalmidae. The record is from RNAcentral.